RNAcentral lists this transfer RNA (67 nucleotides) under Cardiocephaloides medioconiger. Its description in RNAcentral is "tRNA-Pro". The record is from RNAcentral. Lineage: Eukaryota; Metazoa; Platyhelminthes; Trematoda; Diplostomida; Strigeidae.
CAGCUCAUAGUUUAGUUUAAAAUGUUGGUUUUGGGGAUCAAGGUCUUCUUAUUUAGGAGUGUGCUGA